Corvus hawaiiensis (hawaiian crow) is the source of this 342-nucleotide long non-coding RNA. RefSeq lists it as uncharacterized. The transcript has 2 exons. The record is from RefSeq and is a predicted model, not a curated record. Lineage: Eukaryota; Metazoa; Chordata; Aves; Passeriformes; Corvidae.
CAGUGUGCUGUAAAGUGGUACCUUGGCCAUGUGCUUUUGUCACUGCAGGGAGCUGCUGCCAGCAAGGCUGGGGGUGUCUGCGCCAGCAUCUUCCCAAAACCACCAUCAUGGAGGUGGCUCAGUGACGUUUCCACCCUUGCAAGGGCCGGGAUCCCGGGAGCACCCCGCUUUCCCCGCCGCGGCUUUGCCGGGUGGCCCGUUCCUUCCAGAACAUCUAUUUUGGUCGUGUAAAACUUGCCGGGGAGCAGGGAACAGGGAACAGGCAGCGUGUGAAUCACUCGGGGCCAACGGGUUUAAAAAUAAACCCAAGCGGCGGCGAGGAGCAGCCGCCAAGCCCCCGGA